GCCGCCAGCUCAGUCGGUAGAGCAUGAGACUCUUAAUCUCAGGGUCGUGGGUUCAAGCCCCAUGUUGGGCA
Molecule: transfer RNA, 71 nt
Filed under: Albula glossodonta (roundjaw bonefish)
Lineage: Eukaryota; Metazoa; Chordata; Actinopteri; Albuliformes; Albulidae
Description: tRNA-OTHER
Rfam family: tRNA
About the family: Transfer RNA (tRNA) molecules are approximately 80 nucleotides in length. Their secondary structure includes four short double-helical elements and three loops (D, anti-codon, and T loops). Further hydrogen bonds mediate the characteristic L-shaped molecular structure. tRNAs have two regions of fundamental functional importance: the anti-codon, which is responsible for specific mRNA codon recognition, and the 3' end, to which the tRNAs corresponding amino acid is attached (by aminoacyl-tRNA synthetases). tRNAs cope with the degeneracy of the genetic code in two manners: having more than one tRNA (with a specific anti-codon) for a particular amino acid; and 'wobble' base-pairing, i.e. permitting non-standard base-pairing at the 3rd anti-codon position.
Source: RNAcentral